Molecule: long non-coding RNA, 220 nt
Organism: Esox lucius (northern pike)
Lineage: Eukaryota; Metazoa; Chordata; Actinopteri; Esociformes; Esocidae
Exons: 3
Source: RefSeq, a predicted model, not a curated record
CAGUUCUUUACUGUUUUUAAACACUGAUGUGUCCGUAGAUGGCGCUAUAGUGAAUCUCACAUGUGUAAGGCAAGAGCAUAUGUCUAUGGGCAAGAUGGACCCCACGCUGUUGUACCGUGAAAACUAGAAGGAACAGUCAUUUUAGCGACUUGGUUCUCUCGUCAACUCUUGUUCAGUGUGUAAGUUGAACAGUUUUGUUCCCGGAGGAGGAUGACUGUGU